GACCUCAGAUCAGGUAGGGAUACCCGCUGAACUUAAGCAUAUCAAUAAGCGGAGGAA
RNAcentral lists this ribosomal RNA (57 nucleotides) under uncultured Pezizales. RNAcentral's name for it is "partial 28S ribsomal RNA". Lineage: Eukaryota; Fungi; Ascomycota; Pezizomycetes; Pezizales. The record is from RNAcentral.